GUCAUAUGCUUGUCUCAAAGAUUAAGCCAUGCAUGUCUCAGUACAAGCCAAAUUAAGGUGAAACCGCGAAAGGCUCAUUAAAUCAGUUAUGGUUCCUUAGAUCGUACCCACAAUUACUUGGAUAACUGUGGUAAUUCUAGAGCUAAUACAUGCAAACAGAGCUCCGACCGGAGACGGAAGGAGUGCUUUUAUUAGAUCAAAACCAAUCGGUGGCGGGUUCUCGCUCGUCAUCGUACAAUUUGGUGACUCUGAAUAACUUUACGCUGAUCGCACGGUCAUCGCACCGGCGACGCAUCUUUCAAAUGUCUGCCUUAUCAACUGUCGAUGGUAGGUUCUGCGCCUACCAUGGUUGUAACGGGUAACGGGGAAUCAGGGUUCGAUUCCGGAGAGGGAGCCUGAGAAACGGCUACCACAUCCAAGGAAGGCAGCAGGCGCGCAAAUUACCCACUCCCGGCACGGGGAGGUAGUGACGAAAAAUAACGAUACGGGACUCAUCCGAGGCCCCGUAAUCGGAAUGAGUACACUCUAAACCCUUUAACGAGGAUCAAUUGGAGGGCAAGUCUGGUGCCAGCAGCCGCGG
RNAcentral lists this ribosomal RNA (580 nucleotides) under Pantiala illusa. RNAcentral's name for it is "SSU rRNA". It matches the Rfam family "Eukaryotic small subunit ribosomal RNA", at positions 23 to 579 of the family's 1831-position model. Lineage: Eukaryota; Metazoa; Arthropoda; Insecta; Coleoptera; Curculionidae. The record is from RNAcentral.